RNAcentral lists this unclassified non-coding RNA (672 nucleotides) under Hevea brasiliensis (rubber tree). The record is from RNAcentral. Lineage: Eukaryota; Viridiplantae; Streptophyta; Magnoliopsida; Malpighiales; Euphorbiaceae.
AAAUUUUGAAGAUUGGGGAGCCAAAAGUAAGAAUGACAAAGAUAAAUGAAAAUAAAGAUUGUAGGGCAGUAUGGACAUUUUUCAAAAUUUCGGGUGCCAUAUCCAUACUAUAAACAAUUAGUAUGAAAUGUAACAUGUGUACAAAGAACAAUUUAAAAGUUUUUCAAAACCCAUAUCCGUACUAAUAAAAAUGCUAGUAAAAAUUUGUAUGAAAUAUCCCCUAGCACAAAACAAAAAAAUUGAAGCAAUAAUGUAGGAUUGACCUACCACCAUGCCUAUUUAACUGCUUUUCAUAAAUAAAAUUGUUGAAACAAUUAUUUUUCGGCAGAAAAAUUAUUUAUUUCACUAUAUUGACUCUGUAUAUGUCGGUGGUAUUUAUAUACAAAAGAUUUAACCUAAAGAAGGAAUCCUAAAUACACAAAGAAAGGGAAUCUCAUAUACAAUGGAAGACUAACAUAAAUAGGAAAGAAUAAAAAUCUCUAUAAUUCAGUAAUACAACACUACAAAUUCCAACACUCCUCAAGUUGGUUCAUGCAUAUUACACAUGUCCAACUUGCAAACUAGAGUAUGGAACAAUUUGCUGCUUAGAAUCUUAGUAAACACAUCGGCCAAUUGUUCCUUUGAAGACACAUGAGAGACACUCAAAGAUCCAUCUACUAUUUUCUCUUUUAU